CCGCGGUCAGUUUGAAUAGCUUUGCAGCUUUAAUGCAGUAACACUCUUCAAGCGAGAAGCUGCUAUGGUGGAGAUUUCCUCAAAACAUUGCUUAACAGGCCUGUUGGCAGAGGGUGGGACCAAUGAGGAGGAGAUUUAUAGAUUAAAUUCUGUAUCCAACAGUGACUACUUCACAUUGUGCUGGAUAUGAUUUGUGUAUGUUUAUAUAUACGGACACACUGCUGCCCCGGGUACGAUUGGAGUUGUGUUUCUGUGAUACAGUCCUGUCUGAGAAAGCAACUACUUUGGUGGCACCAUUGCUCCCACAUGUCCCUGAAAAGUUUGACGUCUGCGAAGAAUUGAAUGACAUUCCUUCACGUCUUGUCACAUUGAUCUCAAAGGUGUGGUCUUGUUAGAGGCUGUCAUCACAAUUUCAGUGUUCUCCGUUCCAUUUCCAAAAAUGUGUACCCUAAGUCUCCCAUCCAUUUGUCCUUCUAGAUCAUUUUUGUAUUCAAAGUGUUUGUUCUAUAAAAGGUAAGAUCUCCCUUUUAGCCUUUAAGUUCAAUCUGCACUGUACUGCUGAAGAUACUUCAUACAGACAGGCAGUCCUUACAGUCUCUGUGCGCACAAGGAGCUGGAGAGAAAGUUUAAUAUUUGUGCAAGCUUUGUUUUCCAGUUAAAAGAUAACAUUUUUUCCUUUUGUUCUCCUUAAUUCAGAGCGGUGUAUGAAAUUCCUUAUCGUCUGCUUUCAGUCCCUCUCAAUCUCUUCCAGUUAUUUCCUUCUGAGCGCGGGGAAAAUCCUGACCAUGAAUCAAACCCAGUGGGACGCCGGGUUCUUUCAACAAUACAUCUGGCUCAUAUCCCAAUGUCGACUGACUGUAUCACGAUGAAAACAUGAUGCAUUAUUGAUAUUGGAAGGUGCAAAACCUCCAGAAAAUCUCCAUAAUAUCCUAAAUAAUGUGAGGGAAAUGCUUCAGAGUUUGAAAAUCAGAGCUCCGCAGACAAUGUGCCGUUCCACUGAUAAAAGCGAUUUGAAACCAUGGCCUAAUAUGCUGCCUGAGGGACAGAUUGAAAUGUACGUAUAAACAAAGUACAAUAAACUAAACUGAGUGAGCUUCUUAUCGUUUUAAAUCAUCUCAGUUUGCUUUUCGGUUUUCCUUUUUAUGGCAACAGGACAAAACUUUCUGAAAGCUAAACAAAGUCUCCUAUAAUUGUUUCUCCAUCUGCCUGUCCUAAUUAAAUCAACCUAGGUUAAUAAACACACACACACAUGCACACACAGGGAACAUAAUAUGGUUAUUUAAUAUUGACCAGCCAUGUGGGAAUCUGUGCUACAUGAUUAUUAUUUGUCACACAGCUCCCAGUAGCUGUGCAGUGUGAGCAUGGGCCUCAUAAAGGCUGAACAUCUCAGUUUAAUGUGGUGUUUAAUCCACCAGUAUGCACAAGAUCUUUAAUUGAAAUUAUAUUUUUAAUGCUGAAAUAUGAUUGUUGUUGUUAUCCAUUCAUUUUCAAGUUUACAGUUAAAAAAAGCAGAAUAAAAUGCAAUAAAACACACAAUUAUUCUUGCUUAAGAUGCCAAAUGUAAUUACAUUUAUCAGGCAAAAGAAAUAAAUAAAUUAGUUGAAGUGUUUAAAUUUCAUGCUUGGUUCAUUGCUGGCUUUUCAGAGAAGUCCAGUCCCAAGUUUGGGUUAAAGAAAAGUAUAAUUUGUUUAUCUUUAAACAAGUUUUUGACAGAUUUCUGAAAUAUUUGGAUGUUUUUAUGACUGGUGGUCCUAUAAAUUUGUACAGUGUUGUUACGCUGUAACUGUUUUAGCUUUUGGAAUUUUGCGUUUAAUGCCCGGCAGCGUCCACUUAAACACCCUUGGUGAACAUCAGUGAGGUCUAACCUGUCAUACAGCUGUUAUGCAAAUAUUUGUUUCCGAAAAUCUUAAAUAAAAUGCUUUAUAAACUGCAGGAAUCUGGGUUUAAAUAAAGAAAAAUAAACAAAAACACCCCAAAAAAUAAAAAUUGUGAGCACAGCUGCUUUCAUAGUAUGUCUGUGUACACAGUCUACUGAUUUUGAUAAAGAGAGUUAAAUGAAAAUAAAGAGCUAAUCUCCUCAUGAAUCACCAGAAUGUAAUAUACUGGACAUCAGUGCAUUUCUGUGAGCUUUGAGAUUGGCGCAUCUGAUUAUCACACCAGCUCAAUCUCUCCUUCAAAGAGCCAUAUUAAUUUUGAUUGCUUUGUAUCGCUGGCUGUUAUCGCUCAUGCU
This is a long non-coding RNA of Oreochromis niloticus (Nile tilapia), 2230 nucleotides long. NCBI's taxonomy places the organism in Eukaryota, Metazoa, Chordata, Actinopteri, Cichliformes, Cichlidae. The record is from Ensembl.